UUUUUUUCUUUUUCUUUUUCUUUUUUCUCUUUUGCUUUUCUAGGGCUGCACCCUCGGCAUAUGGAAGUUACCAGGCUAGGUGUAGAAUCGGAGCUGUUGCUGCCAGCCUACACCACAGCCACGGCAACACCAGAUCUGAGCCAUGUCUGUGAUCUACACCACAGCCACAGCAUCGCCAGAUCCGAGCUGUGUCUUCGAUCUACACCACAGCUCACGGCAACAUUAAGCCAUGUGCUCCAAGCGACACACCUAAUACAAGACUGGCACACUCACCACCUGAACUCUGGUCUCUCUGACACUAAAGCUUGUUGUUUGGGCUUUUGUUUGUUUCUAGUUACACCAUACUGCCUCUCUUGGUUUCUCUCCGCUAACUUCCGAACUCAAGGGACCUAUAAUCCAAAACCAAACUAAUAUUUAGACAUGAGGUCUCAUGCCUUCUUCCUGAUGUCAUCAAGGUGGUGAGCAAAGAGCCUUGGCCACCCAAGGCCGUCAGCAGUGUCUUUCAGGGAAAGACACCAGACCAUAAUUCCAAUUAGCUAGACAAAACACAUGAAUUCCACAUCGGAGAAACCUUUCCCAGAAAACAAAAGAAGACCUUUAGCCCCUGAUAACACUUCAUCUCAUCACUUCUCCGGUCCAGACAGCCCUUUGCUUCAGCUGGCUUCACAUAUUCUGGACCACACGGAAGACAGAUCCAGCACCUUGGAAACAUGAAGCCCAACAGGCAAGUUCUCUGGGAUCCCAUCAACGUUUUAUUUUAUUUUGUGAAGCCAUUUCCCUGUCCAGCCUCCCUGGUGCAUAUCUCGUGUCAGACCUCACAUUUCCCGGACCACAUGUGAAGGGACAACUCAGCCCACAUUCCACAGAACUGAUCACAAUUCGUCAGAUCAAGGGCAAGAUCAAAUCUCUAGUCUCUCACUUUUGCAGCUCUUAGAGAGUUACCUUCUUGGAAUUAUUUAUUUAUUUAUUUAUUUGGUCUUUUUAGGGCCCCACCCGCGGCAUAUAGAAGUUCCCAGGCUAGGGGUCGAAUGGGAGCUGUGGCUUCCGGCCUACACCACAGCCACAGCAAUGCCAGAUCCAAACUGCACCAGCGACCUACAUCACAGCUCGCGGCAACACCAGAUCCUUAACCUACUGAGCGAGGCCAGGGACCGAACUCGCGUCCUCAUGGACACUAGGGUCAUCAGUAGCAAGUGGGGGGGGGAAGUCAUGCAAAAAAAUUCAGUAGUGGAGAUAAGCCAGCAAAAGUAAAUGCGACACAGUCCAAACCAAGCUGGGCACAUUCUCACAAUCCGCUGGAAAUGACUUUACCUGAAGCCUGCGGGACUCCUUAAACUCAGCACUGAGAUGGUGAGGUCUCCACAGGGACCCUUGGCAGGAACCUCCACGCUCUUCCAAGCCAGGUCUCCAAGGCCUGGCGCUGACAGGGUCACCACUUUCAUGGAGAAGCUUACAAUUCUGUUCUCUCCUCUCCUCCCCCCAUCAGACAUGCUAACUGGCACUUGUUUUAUCUACGAAGGCUAGCCUGUGGCAGUGGCAUAGUGUGACAGCUGGAAAAUUCGGGGACCUCAGCGAGUCAACGCACAGAGUUACCACAAACAGAAGCAUGCUGUGAACCAGUUGUCAAAGUCUCCAGCCGGGCUUUCCCUCACACUCAUCUCACACGAAUCUUAAUCCGAUCAGGAGAGAGAUAAAAGCAGACCCUGAGGUUCCUGUGCAUCUCUCUAAAGGAGGGAAAAUUUUCUUUCUUUCAAGAGGGGUGACCUGGCCAUAAUAACCUUUGGGGUGGCUAAAUGGCCUUGGUGUUCUGAGCAAAAAAAGAAAGAAAGGAAAUGAGACUUUUUUUUGUGUGUUCCAUUUAGGGAAAUGAGGAAGUGGAAUGGUUUCUCUCCAGGCCCGAUCCCUUUCUGAGAGUCGGUUUGGAGGUAAUGUCAUAAUUUCAGGCUCUCCUUGCAGAAAUCCUCCUUGCAUUUCAUAUCAGGUUCUAAAUAAAGACGUGCUCUUGGUUGACUUGUAGCUGUUGUCAAUAUUAGGUUAUAAGCACUGGGUAAGGGCUGGAGCCCAAUCAAAGUAUGCUUAUAAUAAUGAUCAUUCAGAGGGAGCGACAGUGACCACACAGAUCCUGGCUAAUACCAUCCAAACCCGAAUCCAGGAAAAUGCUGCCUGGAAGCAUUCCUCCCUACCAAUCACACCUUCAGACAGGGAAGCUGGGUGACUGGUCCAGUUUCCAGACCCUGAUAUAUUCAAAUCAACUGGUAGUCACUGAGUGACCAGAAAGUAGCCAGCAGGCACUGUGGCUUUAGCAUGCGUCAGGCAUUUCUAGUCAGUCUUUAAUUUGCAAAGGCCAAUCGGGUUCGACCCCAACGUGAGAGACGGAACAACAAAUCAAGGAUGACCUCAGUUCCUGCAGCAGGUUUAAUCCAGGCAGCCGAGGCAGCCCCUGAGCCUCUUUCUCAAAGACUAAACCACUCAGAGCAGGAAGCGCUGGUCCAUCUACCACGUAGAUGCAGAUCGUCCCUCUGAGAAGUAGGACAGGUUCCCAAGUCUUUCUCUCCUUUCUCUCUAGGUCCCUUCAAAGAAAAAGCCAUCCCCUCCUCCAUCUCAGCGUGGGACACACAAGUGUAACCUUUUCUACCAAAAGAGGAAGGUCUGGAGGACACUAGCAGCUACCAGGAGUUUCUCUAUGACUCGAAGCCCCUUGGCUCUCGGCUGGGGCAGCCGGAAUCCACAUUUAAAAGCAUCUUGUUUCCUCUUCUUCUCUAGGUUAGUGCCCAGCUAAGAAUAGCGCGCCAUUCAUGCCCAUGUGUACACAUCCUUUUCACUUGCUGUUUUCUCUUAUAUAUGCAUGAAACCCUGUUCUUGCAUAUCUUCCAAGGUAAACAAAAAUAUUUUUAAGUGGGCACAGAGCAGCAGUUUUAUUCCCUGUCCAGUCUUCAAGAAGGCACUGCCCGGAGGAACUCCGCUCCAGAACCGAGUGUCACAGGAAUGGUUGAGGCACCGGCUUCCUCUCUGAAGCCCCAAAGAGAGACUCACACUCAGAGAUGGGAACCCAGUGGCAACAAGCUUAGGAUUCCCUCGAUCUGCCCAGACUCACCUCUGUGGAUGUCCUAAACCUACAGGAGACCAGAAGGCCAUAAAAUUGGUCUCAUUUUAUUAAGUUGAACCAUAUGAAACUACCUACAAAAUGAGGAUUUCAUAUGACUUAAACUAACAGAAUCCUAAAAAAGCUAAUCAGGCAUUUUGCAAUGAGCAAGAAUGCAAAAUCCAUUAUUUCCCAGAUAGCUCCACCCAUGACCAUUUCCUAUUAGACUUUUUUUUUUUUUUUUUUUUUUUUUUUUUUGGCUGCGCCCAUGGCAUAUGGAAGUUCCUGGGCCAGGGAUUGAACCGGUGCCACAGCAGCAGCAGCAACCCGAGCCGCUGCAGUGAUCACAUCCAAUCCUUAAGCCGCUGCACCACAGGAGAACUCCUUCCUAUUAAUCUUUAGUAACUAAAACAUUUUUCAGGAAAGUUAAAAGCUGUAAGUUAUAGGCUCAUUAUGGGACCCCUUGUAAGAUAGGCUUGGCAUUGGUAACAAAUAUCUUUUCUCUCCAUUCCUUCCCUAUCUGUAUCCAUAUCCACAUCCAACACCAUUCCUGGUCCUCAAGAGCUCACGAGUAACAGGCAAAUAGAACACAGGGUGAGCAGUUGCCCUUGUGGUGAAGGGGAAACAAAUCCGAGUAGGAACCAUGAGGUUGCAGGUUCGAUCCCUGGCCUCGCUCAGUGGGUUAGGGUUCUGGCGUUGCCAUGAGCUGUCAUGUAGGUCACAGAGGCGGUUCAGAUCCUUUGUUGCUAGGGCUGUGGCGUAGGCUGGCAGAUGUAGCUCCAAUUCCACCCCUGGCCUGGGAACCUCCAUAUGCUGAGG
RNAcentral lists this long non-coding RNA (3901 nucleotides) under Sus scrofa (pig). Its description in RNAcentral is "lncRNA (ENSSSCG00040004478.1)". Lineage: Eukaryota; Metazoa; Chordata; Mammalia; Artiodactyla; Suidae. The record is from RNAcentral.